UUAAUUGAAGAGUUUGAUCAUGGCUCAGAUUGAACGCUGGCGGCAGGCCUAACACAUGCAAGUCGAGCGGCAGCACAGAGGAACUUGUUCCUUGGGUGGCGAGCGGCGGACGGGUGAGUAAUGCCUGGGAAAUUGCCCGGUAGAGGGGGGAUAACCAUUGGAAACGAUGGCUAAUACCGCAUAACCUCGCAAGAGCAAAGCAGGGGACCUUCGGGCCUUGCGCUACCGGAUAUGCCCAGGUGGGAUUAGCUAGUUGGUGAGGUAAGGGCUCACCAAGGCGACGAUCCCUAGCUGGUCUGAGAGGAUGAUCAGCCACACUGGAA
Molecule: ribosomal RNA, 323 nt
Filed under: Vibrio cholerae
Lineage: Bacteria; Pseudomonadati; Pseudomonadota; Gammaproteobacteria; Vibrionales; Vibrionaceae
Description: bacterial SSU rRNA
Rfam family: Bacterial small subunit ribosomal RNA
Source: RNAcentral